GGGCUCUUGGCGCAGGGGCUAGCGCGUGCGCUUUGCACCGGCUGGAUGUGCGCAAGGUCGUGGGUUCAAUUCCCACAGUGUCCA
Molecule: non-coding RNA, 84 nt
Organism: Flammula alnicola
Lineage: Eukaryota; Fungi; Basidiomycota; Agaricomycetes; Agaricales; Strophariaceae
Source: the annotation of a GenBank genome assembly